GAUGAACGCUGGCGGCGUGCCUAAUACAUGCAAGUCGAGCGAACAGAUAAGGAGCUUGCUCCUUUGACGUUAGCGGCGGACGGGUGAGUAACACGUGGGUAACCUACCUAUAAGACUGGGAUAACUUCGGGAAACCGGAGCAAAUACCGGAUAACAUUGGAAACGGAUUGUUUCUAAAGUGAAAGAUGGUUUUGCUAUAAUUAAUGAUUGAACCCGCGCCGUAUUAGCUAGUUGGUAAGGUAACGGCUUACCAAGGCGACGAUACGUAGCCGACCUGAGAGGGUGAUCGGCCACACUGGAACUGAGACACGGUCCAGACUCCUACGGGAGGCAGCAGUAGGGAAUCUUCCGCAAUGGGCGAAAGCCUGACGGAGCAACGCCGCGUGAGUGAUGAAGGGUUUCGGCUCGUAAAACUCUGUUAUUAGGGAAGAACAAACGUGUAAGUAACUGUGCACGUCUUGACGGUACCUAAUCAGAAAGCCACGGCUAACUACGUG
Molecule: ribosomal RNA, 497 nt
Filed under: uncultured bacterium
Lineage: Bacteria
Description: partial 16S ribosomal RNA
Rfam family: Bacterial small subunit ribosomal RNA
Source: RNAcentral